This 414-nucleotide long non-coding RNA is filed under the name Trifolium pratense (red clover). Its description in RNAcentral is "long non-coding RNA (TPRA_LNC011271)". Lineage: Eukaryota; Viridiplantae; Streptophyta; Magnoliopsida; Fabales; Fabaceae. The record is from RNAcentral.
GCGUCACACCAUGAAACUCCGCUAACUCAGAUUCAGAUAAGACCACUUCCCCUCCCUUCUCAUCAAGCGCUGCAAGUUGGUCCUUAAGAGCCGCAAUCCGACUAGGAAGAUUCUGGGUGUGAGCCGUAUGCCACUCUUUCAAGACUGUCUUAAUCCCUUUAAGUUUUUCUUUAAGAACAUAACCUCCCCAACCAUCAAACUGAAAGGAAUUCCACUUUUCGCGCACAAACAGUUUAUAUCCAGGGACAUCUCUCCAACACUUCAACAUCCUCGAGGGACGGGGACCCCAGUCCUCCUCUUCCGCUGCCAAAACCAAGGGGCAAUGAUUAGAUAGUCCUCUCAUCCGAGCUGCUUGUGUACAGUUAGGCCAAGUCAAACACCAAUCCCCAGAAAGUAAGAAUCUAUCCAAACGAC